UAGUCCACGUCCAAGGGUGUAGGGCGAGCUGUAGGCAAAUCCGCAGCUCACAUAGCCUGAGACCUGAUAGUGACCGCGUAUGCGGGAAGCAGGGUGAUCCUAUGCUGCCAAGAAAAUCUUCUAGCGAGGUUCGAGCCGCCCGUACCCCAAACCGACUCAGGUGGUUAGGUAGAGAAUACCAAGGCGAUCGAGUGAAUCGUGGUUAAGGAAUUCGGCAAAAUACCCCCGUAACUUCGGGAGAAGGGGGGCCCAGAGGGUGAAGGCACUUGCUGCCUAGCCUGAACGGCCGCAGAGACCAGGGAGAAGCGACUGUUUACUAAAAACACAGGUCCGUGCGAAGUCGCAAGACGAUGUAUACGGACUGACGCCUGCCCGGUGCUGGAAGGUUAAGAGGACCGGUUAGUUCUUCGGAGCGAAGCUGAGAAUUUAAGCCCCAGUAAACGGCGGUGGUAACUAUAACCAUCCUAAGGUAGCGAAAUUCCUUGUCGGGUAAGUUCCGACCUGCACGAAUGGCGUAACGACUUCUCCACUGUCUCAACCACGAACUCGGCGAAAUUGCACUACGAGUAAAGAUGCUCGUUACGCGCAGCAGGACGGAAAGACCCCGGGACCUUUACUACAGCUUGGUAUUGGUGUUCGGUACGGCUUGUGUAGGAUAGGUGGGAGACUGUGAAGCAUGCACGCCAGUGUGUGUGGAGUCAACGUUGAAAUACCACUCUGGUCGUUCUGGAUAUCUAACCUCGGUCCGUGAUCCGGAUCAGGGACAGUGCCUGGUGGGUAGUUUAACUGGGGCGGUUGCCUCCUAAAAGGUAACGGAGGCGCCCAAAGGUUCCCUCAGCCUGGUUGGCAAUCAGGUUUUGAGUGUAAGUGCACAAGGGAGCUUGACUGUGAGACAGGCAUGUCGAGCAGGGACGAAAGUCGGGACUAGUGAUCCGGCGGUGGCUUGUGGAAGCGCCGUCGCUCAACGGAUAAAAGGUACCCCGGGGAUAACAGGCUGAUCUUGCCCAAGAGUCCAUAUCGACGGCAUGGUUUGGCACCUCGAUGUCGGCUCGUCGCAUCCUGGGGCUGGAGUAGGUCCCAAGGGUUGGGCUGUUCG
RNAcentral lists this ribosomal RNA (1096 nucleotides) under Salmonella enterica. RNAcentral's name for it is "partial 23S ribosomal RNA". It matches the Rfam family "Bacterial large subunit ribosomal RNA", at positions 1502 to 2583 of the family's 2925-position model. The record is from RNAcentral. Lineage: Bacteria; Pseudomonadati; Pseudomonadota; Gammaproteobacteria; Enterobacterales; Enterobacteriaceae.